UCAUAUGCUUGUCUCAAAGAUUAAGCCUGCAUGUCUAAGUAUAAGCAAUUUAUACCGUGAAACUGCGAAUGGCUCAUUAAAUCAGUUAUCGUUUAUUUGAUAGUACCUUACUACUUGGAUAACCGUGGUAAUUCUAGAGCUAAUACAUGCUAAAAACCUCGACUUCGGAAGGGGUGUAUUUAUUAGAUAAAAAACCAAUGCCCUUCGGGGCUCUUUGGUGAUUCAUAAUAACUUAACGAAUCGCAUGGCCUUGUGCCGGCGAUGGUUCAUUCAAAUUUCUGCCCUAUCAACUUUCGAUGAGCUUAGGGGGUGAUGGGCAUUCAUGCCUGUCUGGUAGGCAAGGUAGGGUUCUAUUCCGGAGAGGGAGCCUGAGAAACGGCUACCACAUCCAAGGAAGGCAGCAGGCGCGCAAAUUACCCAAUCCCGACUCGGGGAGGUAGUGACAAUAAAUACUGAUACAGGGCUCUUUUGGGUCUUGUAAUUGGAAUGAGUACAAUUUAAAUCCCUUAACGAGGAACAAUUGGAGGGCAAGUCUGGUGCCAGCAGCCGCGGUAAUUCCAGCUCCAAUAGCGUAUAUUAAAGUUGUUGCAGUUAAAAAGCUCGUAGUUGAACCUUGGGCCUGGCUGGCCGGUCCGCCUCACCGCGUGCACUGGUCCGGCCGGGUCUUUCUUCCUGGGGAGCCGCAUGCCCUUCACUGGGUGUGUCGGGGAACCAGGACUUUUACUUUGAAAAAAUUAGAGUGUUCAAAGCAGGCAUAUGCUCGAAUACAUUAGCAUGGGAUAAUAAAAUAAGACGUGAGGUUUUAUUUUGUUGGUUUCUAAGACCGCCGUAAUGAUUAAUAGGGUCAGCUGGGGCCAUCAGAAUUCAAUUGUCAGAGGUGAAAUUCUUGGAUUUAUUGAAGACUAACUACUGCGAAAGCAUUUGGCAAAAAUGUUUUCAUUAAUCAGUGAACGAAAGUUAGGGGAUCGAAGACGAUCAGAUACCGUCGUAGUCUUAACCAUAAACUAUGCCGACUAGGGAUCGGGCGAUGUUAUCUUUUUGACUCGCUCGGCACCUUACGAGAAAUCAAAGUCUUUGGGUUCU
RNAcentral lists this ribosomal RNA (1083 nucleotides) under Leptodontidium boreale. Its description in RNAcentral is "SSU rRNA". It matches the Rfam family "Eukaryotic small subunit ribosomal RNA", at positions 24 to 1115 of the family's 1831-position model. Lineage: Eukaryota; Fungi; Ascomycota; Leotiomycetes; Helotiales; Leptodontidiaceae. The record is from RNAcentral.